RNAcentral lists this transfer RNA (72 nucleotides) under Bacteroidota bacterium. RNAcentral describes it as "tRNA-Arg". It matches the Rfam family "tRNA". Rfam says of the family: Transfer RNA (tRNA) molecules are approximately 80 nucleotides in length. Their secondary structure includes four short double-helical elements and three loops (D, anti-codon, and T loops). Lineage: Bacteria; Pseudomonadati; Bacteroidota. RNAcentral also lists the same sequence under 1 other name. The record is from RNAcentral.
GGUCCUGUAGUUCAAUGGAUAGAACGGAAGUUUCCUAAACUUUAGAUUCGAGUUCGAUUCUCGGCGGGACUA